UUUCGGUUGGCUGGGAGAGUUUGAGUGGUCUUGAAAUGUUGAGUUGAUUGGGUUGUUAGUGUAGGUAGUGGGAUUGUAAUCAAAGUGGUUUCUAUUUUUAUUUUUAUUUUAUAUUUUUUUUCAAAAUUAUUCUCUCUCUUUCCAAAAAAGAAAUCUGACGUCAAUUUUAUUUUGUCUUUCUCUGCAUUUUCGUUCUUCUUUUAUUUUUGCUACCUCCUUCCAUUUUGUUUACAAAUUGUUAUCAAAUCUCUACACCUUGGUUU
RNAcentral lists this long non-coding RNA (263 nucleotides) under Gossypium raimondii (Peruvian cotton). RNAcentral's name for it is "long non-coding RNA (GRAI_LNC004674)". The record is from RNAcentral. Lineage: Eukaryota; Viridiplantae; Streptophyta; Magnoliopsida; Malvales; Malvaceae.